AUUGAACGCUGGCGGCAUGCUUUACACAUGCAAGUCGACCGGUAACAGGCCGCAAGGUGCUGACGAGUGGCGAACGGGUGAGUAAUGCAUCGGAACGUGCCCAGUCGUGGGGGAUAACUGCUCGAAAGAGCAGCUAAUACCGCAUACGAUCUAUGGAUGAAAGCGGGGGACCGUAAGGCCUCGCGCGAUUGGAGCGGCCGAUGUCAGAUUAGGUAGUUGGUGGGGUAAAGGCUCACCAAGCCAACGAUCUGUAGCUGGUCUGAGAGGACGACCAGCCACACUGGGGCUGAGGCACGGCCCAGACUCCUAAGGGAGGCAGCAGUGGGGAAUUUUGGACAAUGGGCGGAAGCCUGAUCCAGCAAUGCCGCGUGCAGGAAGAAGGCCUUCGGGUUGUAAACUGCUUUUGUACGGAGCGAAAAGGCUCUCUCUAAUACAGGGGGCUCAUGACGGUACCGUAAGAAUAAGCACCGGCUAACUACGUGCCAGCAGCCGCGGUAA
Molecule: ribosomal RNA, 498 nt
Filed under: uncultured bacterium
Lineage: Bacteria
Description: partial 16S ribosomal RNA
Rfam family: Bacterial small subunit ribosomal RNA
Source: RNAcentral